This is a long non-coding RNA of Diabrotica virgifera virgifera (western corn rootworm), 3373 nucleotides long. RefSeq lists it as uncharacterized. The transcript has 3 exons. The record is from RefSeq and is a predicted model, not a curated record. NCBI's taxonomy places the organism in Eukaryota, Metazoa, Arthropoda, Insecta, Coleoptera, Chrysomelidae.
AAAACAUUAUCAAUGUGCAAUUCUGACUUAAGUCCUUUUUGCCAAACAUAAAAAAACAAUCUGGUCAUAACUGACCAAUGAGCAAUUUUAAUUUAACCUAAAUUACUACUGUUUCUUAAAAUGAAGAGCUUACCCCAUAGCGUCUCUUAUCUAAUCUAACAAGAUCGUGCACUAUUCUAACAUACACAGGCACAGCACACAAGCACUAUGCUCCGUUUUUCACUAUCACCUAUCACUCAAACUAGUUCAAAAGGAUUUGUCCUCUUCAAUCUUCUAGUUUGCCCAGUAGUAUCGAGGAGCUGGAUUUCCUCGAUAUUCUUGAACUUAUGAAGUUGAUGCUCGUGACCCUGCUAUCUUCUUGAUAUUUGUUGAUAAAGUAAUAACUUAUUAUGCAUGGACAAUGUGGACUUUCUUCCAACUAGCCAAUACACUUUUUAUAUUUCUCUUUUGCCUUUCAUAGCCACAAGGCUAUACAUUUCCUUCUUGGUUUUUUUUGUAGGCCACUUUCAGCUGAUUCUAAAAAAAAUUAAAAUGAACGGUAAUUUUUCUAUUCUUUACAAUUAAAAAUCAAAAGAAAUAGGUACCUAUUUACAGGUAAUAAUAUGCAUGUAUAAAUGAUUCGUUUCAUAAAGAAUAAAGAAAAUUGAAAACGGAUUUUAUAAUACUUACAAAAUUGUUUAAACAAGAGAUCUAGCCAGAGCCCAGAGCAAAAACUAGCAGACAGUACAGCAAAAAAGCCACUAAUUUCCAUUUCCCACACCCCCUUAUCGAUGCAUUUUUUUCCAAUCAAAAUUUUUACUUUACUAAAUUUUUAGGUUAUCGGUUAUGUUAUGAAAAUGAAAUGUGAUGACCAAUGACCACGAGACGCUACAUAGAUACUCGCGCGGCAAAUUUGAAAAUGAACGCAAAUUGAACAGUACAAUAAAUAGCCUCUCUUAAAAUCUUGUAAUGGAAAAUUUUACCCCUCCAGGAAGACAUUGUACUAUGUUCAUAGAAUAUCUUGUGGUAACUUUCCACCCAUAAUUUAAUCAGAUAGAUGUUCACGGGGAAUAGAACGGUAGUACCUACAUUCCUGGAAUGUUUUGUGUUGUUAGGAUUAAACUUUUAUUUUAUUUAUUCUUGAAUAUUUCCUAUUGUUAAACAUUGUAACCAAUAAUUUACAAAUAAGAUUUUCAUUACAUUACAUAAAAUCAAAAACAUUUUUUGGAUAUUAAACUAUAUAGUUUGUUUAUAAUUAAUAAUUGUAUAUACAAUUUUGAAUUAAGAUUUAAUCUUUUCGAUUUAAACUACAGUAAAACCUGUGUUACCGGCCCCCUGCAAACACCGGCCACCUGUACUAACGGUCAGUUUAAAAAUUCCCCAAACCAAUUACAGUAAAACCUGUCAGUAACGGCCACUAAAAAUGAAAAAGCUAUUGGCCGAUAUAGAAAGGUGACCGGUAUUGCCAGUUUUUGUAGUCUAGAUAUAAUUGGUUUGGGGAAUAUUUAAACUGGCCGUUAGUACAGGUGGCCAGUAACACAAGUUUUACUGUAUAUCUAGACUACAAAAACUGGCAAUAACGGCCACCUUUCUAUAUCGGCCAAUAGUUCUUUCAUUUUAGUGGCCGUUACUGACAGGUUUGACUGUAUUUCAUUAACGUAAAGUUAACGCGUAAGUUAAUAUUUUAUUGAAUUAUUUUGCUAUUUGAUCCCGUAAUUGGUAUAAUGUGUCCAAUAUAAUAUAUAAGCGUUCAUAAAACGUCCGUAUUUCGUCCAGUAUGGACGUCCAAAGGACGUUCAACGUCGGACGUCCAAAGGACGUCCAUAUUUAUUCCGUCCGAAGGACGUCCAACGUCGGACGUCCAAAGGACGUCCAUAUUUAUUCCUUCCGAAGGACGUCCAAAAUGGGACGUCCAAAGGACGUCCGUUUAUAGUCCAUGGACGUAAGGACCAAAAAUGGACGUAUUUUGGACGUCCAAAGGACGUCGUGUGCUAUUAGGGAGAGGGCUUUCCUCUCCGUGAAUUCACAAACGACCAAAAUCCCUUCAAAUUAUUUCUUAUUGAUAAUUCUGUUAAGUAAAUAUGAUUUCUGUAGCUUUCAGCUUUUAACAAUUUACAAUUAGCCCUCAGCUGUGAAAAAGUCUGAUAAUCCAGAACUGAUUUAGAUAAAAGAUAUUUUUUGUGAGCUUUCUUUUUCUCAACUAUCCGGUUCUUAACUCUAAAGAGAACCAAGGAGGGAAUCUACGUUUUGAAUACCUUUUUAGGGGGAUGAAUAACCCUAACAACACACAACAUUCCAGGAAUGUACUACCAAAGUUCUAUCAAUAUUUGAAUGUCCUGGACAUUUAGGGAACAUUCGGUGAACAUCUGUUUAAAUUAUUCCUGGAAUGUUACCAUAAGACAUUCUGUGAACAUACUACCAAUGUUCCUAUAUUUUAAGUUGCGAAAUAAUACAUACGUGUAAGAGAUACAACAUUACUUAUAACAUACCAGACAAACUAAGUGACAUUUUAGGCCUACAGUGCAAUAAUAUGUCAAAUUUAAAGAGUUUCCCAAGAUUAUAAACAUACAAAUGUAAUAAAAAUUAUUGUUCGCGAAUAUUCAAUUUGGAAUGCGAUUUUGUUAAUAAAAAAAAUACUUAUAACUUAUGCAAAACCCAAGAGAGGCAUUUAUAUUUAUUUCUUUUGCGUUCAUUUUCAAAUUCGCCGUGCAUAUAUUUUUGUGCAUGGCGCUUGAGAGGGCAUCACGUGACUAAAAACGACCAACCAACGACCUCGCUUCGGCCAUCUUGGCAUCUUCAUCUUGGCGACCUUGCCUUGCCGUGGAUUGUUUUUAGUUGUAUGUAUUAUUUGUGCUUUUUAAGAAUAUUUUUUUAAUUCGGAUACUUUUAUAAUAGCUUUAAUAGUAUUAUUAACAUAGUGCAUAAAAUGGUGUCCUGUUUUUAACGCAGUUGGAGUAGCAGAGACAAAUGUAGAUAAAAAAAUCUGCAGGAAUAACGUUUCAAUUAUGACAGAAGCUCAAAACAAAUGACUGUGAAUGAAAAGCCCUAUUAAAAGCUUUCCAGAAGAUCCUGCGAAGAAGACAUGAAGUAUAGAUCAGAUUUGUUAAUAGAGGAGUAUGUUCAAAACACUUUUUAGAAAAAGAUAUUGACAGAACUUCACUUUCAUCUGUUCGUUUGAGAGACUGUGCUGUUCCAAUAGCUUAUGUCACACAGAAUCAGCUGAGAGAAGUGGUCUACAAAAAACCAGAAAGGAAACGGAAUAUGUGGCUACGAAAAGCAAAAGAAAGGUUUACAAAGCAAAUGUGACACAUUUUUUUAUAAUAUUUAGGAAUGUCAGCAAAUUACAUUAAAAAAUGUAUGUAAAGAUUUUUUGCAAUAAAAAUGUUUAUAUUUA